GACGAACGCUGGCGGCGUGCUUAACACAUGCAAGUCGAACGAAGUGGCGAACGGGUGAGUAAUACGUGGGUAACCUACCCUCCUUUUUGGGAUAAGCCUUGGAAACGGGGUCUAAUACCGAAUAAAGGGGGCUGGUCUCGCGGCCUAUCAGCUUGUUGGUGGGUGGAUGGCCUACCAAGGGGGUGACGGGUAGCCGGCCUGAGAGGGUGACGGGCAACAUUGGGACUGGGAUACGGCCCACACUCAGAAGGGUGGAAGCAGGGGGGGAUAGUGCACAAUGGGCGAAAGACUGAUGCAGCGACGGCGAGUGGGGGAGGAAGGCUUUCGGGUUGUAAACCUCUUUCGCUAUAGAACGGGGAGGUGGAGAAGAAGCGCCGGCUAACUACGUGCCAGCAGCCGCGGUAAUUC
RNAcentral lists this ribosomal RNA (408 nucleotides) under uncultured bacterium. RNAcentral describes it as "partial 16S ribosomal RNA". It matches the Rfam family "Bacterial small subunit ribosomal RNA", at positions 28 to 526 of the family's 1533-position model. The record is from RNAcentral.